Molecule: non-coding RNA, 23 nt
Filed under: Cricetulus griseus (Chinese hamster)
Lineage: Eukaryota; Metazoa; Chordata; Mammalia; Rodentia; Cricetidae
Source: RNAcentral
GUGACGACAUUCUCUGUUCCUUU